ACCUAUCCCCUUGAACUUCUUUGCAAGACUUGAAAGACAAAGUGGCAGAAGAACACUUUCGGACUUCCAAAUUAAAAGUUGUCUACGAAGUUGGUGUCUGAGCUGCGAGAUGGUGGGUUAGUGAUCCUGGGAAUGGGAAAAAAAAGUUCAGGAUGCGGCUGCCUUCUCUUCUGAGUCUACUGAAAGUGCUCUCCAAGCAAUGCGGAAAUUCUCUCUGGUGUCUGGUUGGCUGGAUAUAUGGCUGGUUUUGCCACUCCCUCUCCAUCAUGCUGGGAAGCAUUUUGGCUGCAAAAGAAUCAGUAAUAACCGCAGUGCGCUGAGCCAAGUGAGGGAUUCAGAAGUCAUCGCUCUGGCAGGCACCGGCCUGUGCGCUUGUCCUCUGGCGAGGAGAGAAACUUUCCGUUGCGCUGCCCCUCCAGCCUCCUCAAGAGCAAGGCUGGGGAGGGCUUCCAGAGGCCAGCUCAUCAGCCCUGGCGCUGAAUCAGCCCAAGAAUUUUUAACUACAGGAGAAAAAUGGAUCACACUGGAGGACUUUCUCCUUGAAGAGAACUUCACCCUGGCCUAAUCAGAGAUGCAAAUUUCUGAGCACCCCAUAAGAGAAGAGAAGUUUCAGUAUCCCGGAUUUCCAGAUGAGAUGAGUUACUAGGAGUCUUAGACCAAAUCCACCAGGAUAUUGAAGUGCCUCAAAACUUUUGAGAUCCUGGGCCCAAAUGACUCUCUAGAAGUCACAACUAAGGACAGGAAGCAAGGACAGGAAUCCAGGGCUUCUGGGCCCCACUAUAACAAGGUUCCUCACCAUAAGUAGCUCUUUAUUCACAUCUGUUGUUUGCUGAUUGCUUUGCAAUGUCAUGCUUUGAUUAUUAUGUUGUACAGCCACUGCUACCUUAGUUUUUAGCCAUAUGUUGUCAGUCACAGUUUUGCUUCUUGUCCUUUCAGUGUUGCUUUAUUGUCAGGCUCUAAGUUGUCUGAGUCCCUGAAAUGUGAAAUUUUGGUCUUGUUCGGUUCAAGUAUGAUGAAUUUAUCCAGCCCUGCUGCUGAGAUCCAGGAGUAUCACAUCUACCGUACAGAGAAAUUUAUUUAGAAACUGAUUGUGAAUUACACUGAGGAGUCUGCAUUAAACCAUGACAAUAAAUAAUGAGAGGAUGUUUGCCUGGAGGACUUC
Molecule: long non-coding RNA, 1162 nt
Filed under: Apteryx haastii (Great spotted kiwi)
Lineage: Eukaryota; Metazoa; Chordata; Aves; Apterygiformes; Apterygidae
Description: lncRNA (ENSAHAG00000003807.1)
Source: RNAcentral